GUGCUCGCUUCAGCAGCACAUAUACUAAAAUUGGAACCACACAGAGAAAAUUAGCAUGGUCCCUGUGCAAGGAGGACACGCAAAUUCGUGAAAUGUUCAAUAAUUUU
This is a small nuclear RNA of Gorilla gorilla gorilla (western lowland gorilla), 107 nucleotides long. Lineage: Eukaryota; Metazoa; Chordata; Mammalia; Primates; Hominidae. The record is from Ensembl.